This 253-nucleotide ribosomal RNA is filed under the name uncultured bacterium. RNAcentral's name for it is "partial 16S ribosomal RNA". It matches the Rfam family "Bacterial small subunit ribosomal RNA", at positions 524 to 776 of the family's 1533-position model. The record is from RNAcentral.
UACGGGGGGGGCAAGCGUUGUUCGGAAUUACUGGGCGUAAAGGGCGUGUAGGUGGCCAACUAAGUCAGACGUGAAAUCCCUCGGCUUAACCGGGGAACUGCGUCUGAUACUGGAUGGCUUGAGUGUGGGAGAGGGAUGCGGAAUUCCAGGUGUAGCGGUGAAAUGCGUAGAUAUCAGGAGGAACACCGGUGGCGAAGGCGGGUCUCUGGGCAACAACUGACGCUGAGGAGCGAAAGCGUGGGGAGCGAACAGG